AGAUUGAACGCUGGCGGCAGGCCUAACACAUGCAAGUCGAGCGGUAGAGAGGUGCUUGCAUCUCUUGAGAGCGGCGGACGGGUGAGUAAUGCCUAGGAAUCUGCCUAGUGGUGGGGGAUAACGUUCGGAAACGGACGCUAAUACCGCAUACGUCCUACGGGAGAAAGCGGGGGACCUUCGGGCCUCGCGCCAUUAGAUGAGCCUAGGUCGGAUUAGCUAGUUGGUGAGGUAAUGGCUCACCAAGGCGACGAUCCGUAACUGGUCUGAGAGGAUGAUCAGUCACACUGGAACUGAGGCACGGUCCAGACUCCUACGGGAGGCAGCAGUGGGGGAAUAUUGGAGA
Molecule: ribosomal RNA, 343 nt
Filed under: uncultured soil bacterium
Lineage: Bacteria
Description: bacterial SSU rRNA
Rfam family: Bacterial small subunit ribosomal RNA
Source: RNAcentral